CGGAGCGUGGCGCAGUUUGGUAGCGCACUUGACUGGGGGUCAAGAGGUCGCCGGUUCAAAUCCGGCCGCUCCGACCA
Molecule: transfer RNA, 77 nt
Filed under: Chloroflexota bacterium
Lineage: Bacteria; Bacillati; Chloroflexota
Also listed under: 1 other name
Description: Chloroflexi bacterium tRNA-Pro
Rfam family: tRNA
About the family: Transfer RNA (tRNA) molecules are approximately 80 nucleotides in length. Their secondary structure includes four short double-helical elements and three loops (D, anti-codon, and T loops).
Source: RNAcentral